This 253-nucleotide ribosomal RNA is filed under the name uncultured bacterium. RNAcentral's name for it is "partial 16S ribosomal RNA". It matches the Rfam family "Bacterial small subunit ribosomal RNA", at positions 524 to 776 of the family's 1533-position model. The record is from RNAcentral.
UACAGAGGUGGCAAGCGUUGUUCGGAAUUACUGGGCGUAAAGGGCGCGUAGGCGGUCAGGUCAGUCCCGUGUGAAAUCCCUCGGCUCAACUGAGGAACUGCACGGGAAACUGCCUGGCUUGAGUUCGGGAGAGGGAAGCGGAAUUCCGGGUGUAGCGGUGAAAUGCGUAGAUAUCCGGAGGAACACCGGUGGCGAAGGCGGCUUCCUGGACCGACACUGACGCUGAGGUGCGAAAGCGUGGGGAGCAAACAGG